AAAUCUGUCCGCUAAGAAUGGGAUGCAGACUCUUGCCCCGGCAGCCUGCCGGGUGAGGUUUUACCAUGCAGCUGACAAACCUCCGAUUCAAAGUAAGGAGGCUUUCGCUCAGGAAGUCACUUCAAAGUGCAGAAAGUCAAAAGGAAUAGUCACCAGCUCUUUUUCAGCCCACAGACGGAGGCCCUGGUUGCCUCUGAAAGUCCCUGGCUGUGGAAUUAGAGCGUCCAGCAAGGACCGUCCUCAGACGGGGCCAUGGUCCUACACUCCCCCACGUCCCCGCACCCACUGGUGCCGCUGGGUCCCCUCAGCCCGCCCCUCGCCGACCCCUGGGCCCUUUCUCCUUGUCCAAGUUCUGUCUGCACCACGUGUGAGGCCAGUAAAGAAACGCCCUCUGCUUGUGCUGCCCGGGGGGAGGGGACACACGCUGCCCUGACGCUGGGGAGACGCCUCCUUCUCUGGGUGAGGAAGCUCCAGGUCAAGCUGCUCAUGGCAAGUGCACUGCCUGACAGCCGCCCGGGCCACAGGCCACAGCUUCCCCUCUGGAGCGACAUCACAGCUGCCACCCGCACCCCUCCCCCAUCUGGCCGAAGAGGCAGGGGUGUCUGCCGGUCAGCCAGGCCUCUCUGUGCCCUGCCUGCUGGGGACACUGGGCCUCCGUCCAUGCUGGGGCUCUGGGGCCUCUCAGUCAUCGCAGUAGGUGCGGAACCAGGGAGGGGUGAGGCCCUAGGACUCAGCCUUGGGCAGACGGAGCCCCCGGGUCUUCAUCUCUGUCUGCAGGUGCGUCCUGAGGCCAUGGACACCUCUGCCUGCGCGGUGACCAGAGGUGCGUGGGGGCUUUUUCUCUGAAUUACUGGUCAGGCCUUUGCCCACACGGGGCCAGCGUUUGUUCCCCAUUCAGUGUUCUAUUUGGAAACACUUAUGUAUGUGAAAUCUCCACUGGCUUCUCUGGUUGUGAAGGUUUUCUUUAAAGACGGGAAUGGAUGCCGAAUUUGUGAAAUUCCUUUGGACAUCUGUCAAGGUGACAACCUGGUUUUCCUCCCUCGCUGCCUCGUAUGAAUCGCACCACAGGUUUCUUCCUGCGAAGCAGCCACCACGUCUGGGGUGAAUCCCGCUGGCGCUCUGUGCGUGGGAAUCCCAGGGCCCUUUCUCAUUCUCCUCCAACUCAUCAAUGUUUUCUUGGGUUGUAGU
Molecule: long non-coding RNA, 1188 nt
Organism: Eptesicus fuscus (big brown bat)
Lineage: Eukaryota; Metazoa; Chordata; Mammalia; Chiroptera; Vespertilionidae
Exons: 3
Source: RefSeq, a predicted model, not a curated record